This 503-nucleotide ribosomal RNA is filed under the name uncultured bacterium. RNAcentral describes it as "partial 16S ribosomal RNA". It matches the Rfam family "Bacterial small subunit ribosomal RNA", at positions 30 to 523 of the family's 1533-position model. The record is from RNAcentral.
AUUGAACGCUGGCGGCAGGCUUAACACAUGCAAGUCGAGCGGGGUGAUGGUGCUUGCACUGUCACUUAGCGGCGGACGGGUGAGUAAUGCUUAGGAAUCUGCCUAUUAGUGGGGGACAACAUCUCGAAAGGGAUGCUAAUACCGCAUACGUCCUACGGGAGAAAGCAGGGGAUCACUUGUGACCUUGCGCUAAUAGAUGAGCCUAAGUCGGAUUAGCGAGUUGGUGGGGUAAAGGCGUACCAAGGCGACGAUCUGUAGCGGGUCUGAGAGGAUGAUCAGCCACACUGGGACUGAGACACGGCCCAGACUCCUACGGGAGGCAGCAGUGGGGAAUAUUGGACAAUGGGGGGAACCCUGAUCCAGCCAUGCCGCGUGUGUGAAGAAGGCCUUAUGGUUGUAAAGCACUUUAAGCGAGGAGGAGGCUCUUUUGGUUAAUACCCAAGAUGAGUGGACGUUACUCGCAGAAUAAGCACCGGCUAACUCUGUGCCAGCCGCCGCUGUAA